Long non-coding RNA from Carcharodon carcharias (great white shark), 6371 nucleotides. RefSeq lists it as uncharacterized. The transcript is spliced from 3 exons. The record is from RefSeq and is a predicted model, not a curated record. NCBI's taxonomy places the organism in Eukaryota, Metazoa, Chordata, Chondrichthyes, Lamniformes, Lamnidae.
GUGUUUUAUUUUGUUAAUUCUUGGGAUGUGUACAUUGCUGGCAAGACCGACAUUUAUUGCCCACCUGUAGUUGUCCUUGAGAAGGUGAUUGUAAGCUACUUUCUUGAACAGAUGCAGUUCAUGUGUUGAAGAUGCUACCACAGUGCAGUUAGGUCAGGAAUUCCAUGAUUUUGAUCCAGCAAUAAUGAAGGAAAAGCAAUAUAUUUCCAAGUUAGGCUGGUGUGUGACUUAGAGCUGAAAAUAUUUCCAUCCAUCUGCUACCAUUGUCCUUCUAAGUCAUGGAGGUCACAGGUUUGGGAAGUGCCAUCAAAGCUUUAGGGAAUUGCUGCAGUGCAUCCUGUUGAUGGUGCACAUUCUCUCCAUGGUCCAGUGAUAGUGGAGUGAGUGAGUGCUUAAGGUAGAUGGGGUGACAAUCAAGUGCACUGCUUUACGCUCGGUGUUACUGAGUUUCUUGAUUGAUAUCCAGACAAGUGGCAAAUAUUCCCACACACAUCUGACUCUUGCCUUAUAAGUGGUAAAGAGGCUCUGGAGAGCCAGGAGGUAAGUUAUUCACCACAGAAUACGCAGCCUCUGACUUGUUCUAGUAGCCAGCGUAUUAUACGCGUGGUCCAGUUGAGUUUCUGGUCAACAGUGACCCCCCCCCCCAAGAUGUUGAUGGGGGACUCAAAUGAUGGUAAUGCCAUUGAAUAUCAAGGGGAGCUGGUUAGACACUCUCUUGGAGAUGGUCAUUGCCUGCUCUUCUGUGUUUGAGACUGAAGCAUAAGGACAGCACCUGUGAUGCUGAGAUUCUCCCACAAAAUGCUGGGCAGGCUGCAGCUUGCUGUGGAAAUCUUUCCUUUCUUCCUGACCUUUUUGCAGGUUCAGCUGUAUGGACUCUUUGAAGAACAUUAAUCUGCUGCAACAUUUUGAUCAAUUUAUUUGAGACUAAUUGAAGCAGAGAUGUGCCUUACUUUGACAUUGUCCCUGGUAGUGAUUUAUUUUACUGCUAAUAAUCUACUAAAGAAAAUAUGUUUGUUGGUGUAUUCACUGCCCCUCAGCUGUGCCUCCCUAGGUGUUGCCUCGGCUGCUAUUUAGUACUCAGCCUCUUUGGGCUGAGUUUCUUGUCUGGCACAUCAGCUAACUGAGAAGUAGGGGAAACUGGUUCCAUUUGUCAACGAAAAAUUCAUUUUAAGCUCUCCCAAUUUCUCAUUAUGGCACUGAGUUGUGUUGAGCAAGAAGGUGCUGGGUUUAUUCACUUCCGUCUGCUGUGUUAAUGCAGUUGAGUGCUCGAAUUGACCUCAGCAGGUCUGGGUUCAAGUUCCUGUCCCUGACCACUACCUGGCACUGGUGAGGGCAGGAUUAAGCUCAAAUAUCCAACCAACAGGACUGACAUCUGAAAAUGGUCACUUGUAUGAGCUACCGGAAAUGUGUUUGAAGCUUGUGGAGCUGCAUUUCAGCAAGAGUUUUGAUUGAGUUAUUGAAUGACUUGUGAGCUACAUCUUGAGACUUUCAAACUGUUACUUGGCUUAGUGACCCUGAACAAGAGGGAACAUUUCUUGGAAACUGAGUUACGUUUCAUCAGGAUUCUGUUUAUAAUCAAACUUUCAUCCAAAUACCUUUCCCCAUCCCCCAUACACUGGAGAAAUUCAUUGUACUUUUGGAUUACCUGGCCAAUUAUUACAGGCCAAAAAAUACAAGGCCAAUUACCAUUGGGAUCAUUCAGGACAGAAUUAUCCUGGUGAUUCAAGACGGGCUGCCAGGAAUGAUGGCAUCUGUGCAGUGAAAUACAAUACUCGUGUGAGUGUUGGUAGAAUAUUCAACCAUUGAGAAUAUUUUAUUCCAGCCCAGUUGAAUUGAAAGAGCAGGGAAUGAGGGGCAAGGAGGUGGAGGUGUCAUCCCCCUAUCCCCCCUACAAAUCACUGAUUUGCAUGCAAUAGACACAGCAUUGUGUUUCUAAUGAUUCCAUUUGAUCUGCCACUGCUCUGCUGAUAUCUUCCCAUCUAGCAAUGCUUCACCUAUCUCUCUCUCUCUCUCUCUCCCAUUGCUGCUUCCGCCAAGCCCAGUGGUCCAGCCCCAACAUCACCCUAAAAUAUUAAAAGAUUCAGCAGGAGCUAUAAAUUUUAUACAAAUUUAUUGCACAGGUUACAUGGAAAUACAGAUUUCUGGUAAUGACCUGGUGAGUUUGGUGCUUACAGUGCAUGGGUCAAUAACUGGAGUUGAAAUUAGGCUGGAAUUACAGAAUUUAUCUUUCUAUAAAACAUUUAAAAAUUCCAUAUAAAUGCCAUUUCAUAAGCAGUUUAACCUAUUUGCUCCAUUAUGCUUAAAUUCCCAUGUUCACAUAUAUCCCAACAGCAGCAAAACUGAUCUGUAAGCUUCACAACAGGAGACCCACUUGCUAGAACAGAUAGUUCUGAACCCACCUACAAUGCUUAAGGGCUUAGAUAAACUCUUACAGGGUCUGCGCAUCAUGCCCAGAAAUCCCCAUUACACUCGCAGUAAAGCCACCUCUUUCUAAGGACACUGGGCUGCGACUCUGCUCACUGCCCCACUCUGCAUUCAGAAUAACACAGCAGAGACCAGGGUUUGAAGCAGGAGUUUUCUGAUCUUUCUGCAUUGAUGCUAGACCACAAACAGCAAUUUACUCAGAGAUAUCAAAAUAAAAGUUUAAUUUCUCGUUGAAAUAACGGGGGUAAGAUUGGAACAGACUACAGAGUUAGCGUGCACCAGCCCAAGGGAGGAAGUAUUUCUGUUGAGUAGCCAGCUAGCCUUAUUCACUGGCCUGUCUUAUGAUGAGAAUCUGAAAUUACAACAUCAAUUGCUUCAAUCCCUGGUGUCUGCCAUUCUCCAAUAUUUUUAUUGUGGACUAUAAUCAGGCUAACCCAUUACGGCCGUGCUUGCCUCUGGUUUCUUUUUUUCUCUGUAUUGGUAGAAACAAAUUGAGACUGAAGACCCAGCACUGUUCUAUGCUGGGUGAGUGAGUUCGCGAGUGUCAGUACUGUACGCUGGAGUGAGCUGCCUAGGUUCAGUAUAACAAUCCAGUGGACAUUUGUGUUGAAAUUUAAGGUAACCCAAAUACUGUUGACGUACAGCUGGUAGCAGCUGAGAGUGAAUCAAGCUAAUGCUUUGGGACGGUUGGGUGGGAGAGUGAGAGAGUUUGGGGGUGGGAGGAUGGGUUCAGAGGAGGCCUUCCAACCCUGAACGGGACAGUUCCUUCCAGUCUGAUUUAGGUUCCCUGGUGACAGCUGUUGGGUGUGAGAGAGAGCUGGAGACAUAGCAGUCAUUGGUAUGUGUGUAAUGUUGAGUGUUUGUUCCCUAGGAGGAUACUUGUGAGGAUUUUGCAGUUUCAUGCACGGCCUGAUUGGAUGUAAGAGGUUUCAGAGUGAGCUGGUGCUGACAGCUGCCAGAGCGCUUGAGAAAAGCAGCGGGGCCAUUUACACAGAGAGAGAGAGCACUUGUAAAAAGCAGCAGGGCCAUUAAAGCCAGAGCGCUUGAGAAAAGCAAUGGGGCCAUUUACAGCAAGAGCACUCGUGGACUUCAUUUAAAACAGAGAGCGGAUGAGCGUGUGGACUUUAUUUAAAACAGAGCGGGGAGACUUAUUUUAAAAAGAGCGCAGAGUGCAGGUGAUUGGCCAUUAGCUGCUGCAGCUGGGUGGUUAUUCAGUCCUAGGCCUGUGCCAGUGUUCAGUCACCCAGCCUCUGCCUUGAGCUUCUUGUGCCUCCCACUGUGACAAGUUGGCUGAUACCUAAGCCCCACACAACAUUAAGGUUGAAAUUGGGACUGGCUGGAGUUCUUCUAUCAAGGGCUCCUCACUGUGACAUUCUGACUUGUGACUUUUAUCCUGAUUCACUGUGCAAAACUUCCACUUUUGAAUCAGCUGAUUGCCUAAAUGUUACAGAAUGUAAUCUCAUAUUUUGAGUGUCACUAAUCUGUUCCUUGCUCUGCUGUUGAUUUAAAGCCUUGAUAUGUUUCCUAGAUUUGAUAGGAAAGGAUCAAGAGGACAUUCAGCAUCUUGAGCCUGUUCUCUGCUGUUCAAUUAGAUUGUGGUUGAUUUGUAGCUUUACUCCAUUUACCUGCCUUUGUUUUGUAACCCUUAACACCCUUACCUAACAAAAUCUAUCAAAUUUAAAUAACCUGCAGCCUCAAGUUUCUUGGGCAAAGCAUUGCAGAUUUCCACUAUCCUGUGAAGAAAUGUUUCUUAACAUUACCACUGAAUGACCUAGCUCUAAUAUUAAGAUUAUGCCCUCCUUGUUCUGGACUUUCCCUGUUAUCCCCAGUAGGCUGGGUUCACAUUGGUGCAGAAUGCAGAUGAUCAAUCUACUGUCUCACUGUGACAACAGUAGUUGGGGUGGGUUAGCUGAGUCACAUCCAGGAUUAUAAACAGUGAUGAUGGAACUACUGCUCUGCGCUGAAUUUAGACAAUUCUGCUCUUUAUUUCAGUAGGUUUUCUUUAGUGGGACAACUGGGUCAUCAUAAAUAUCCACUUGUGGAAAUUAAUGUUGUUUAAUAUUAUACAUUUAGAUAAACUUUGAGGCCCAACCCAUUGUGGAAUUGAAUUCCAUUGAUAAUCAUAUCUUGAUCCUGGUACGGUUUUUGAAAUAUCCUUCAUUUAAGAAUAUUUUUGAAUGUUACUAAAGGCCUUUCUCUUUUUCUCUUCCUCCUUUCCAAUUCCUUUAAACCCGUUGCUCCUUCCUCUGUUCCUUCAGUUUGACCAGGGCCCUUGCGUGCAAGGUGUCAGAUUUUUUUUCCAGCAUACACCCACAUCCCUUUUCCAGACAAGUUUGUGUGUCCUGAAUAAAACUGUGCCAGAGAAGGCAGCAGGUGCUGUGGUCUGUGCCAGUGUGCCCCCUGGCUUCUUCAAACCUUCACACCCACAAGGAAAAAGUAUGAUACAGCUGAAGUUCCAAGCUCUGAGGACAGGCUCUUCCCCUAGUGCAUGAGCCAUUCCCGGAUCGAAUCAUCAGGUAACUGCAGACCUUGGAUAUGGCUAAAUGUGAGCUACUGCAGAGACCGCAUGACCCUUGGCUCUAUUCAAACAGAAAGUUAUUUUAUAAUUGCUGCUUUGUGUUGGAGAACAGUGGAAGACAUAAGCAGCACAAGCUGCUGGCUAAUCUGUCCUGUUUUUCAUCUUGGUGCCUGGAGUUUCAGUAGAAAGGAUACACAGAUGUUCUGAAAUGCUAGAUGAUUGGACAGACUGAAUCUUUCCUGCAGAAUCACAAUUGGAAAGACUGAAUAUACAUGGAUGUGAAUGGAGCAGGUAGACUUUGUGCUACAUUGACUUGAUGAAAAUCUGGCUUGAUAAUUGCGGUGUUUUAUAGAUCUCUCAUUGGAUCAAAUGGUACUGAAAAUAUUGGUUGGGUGAAAAAACUUGUUUACUGUUUGGGAACCAAUUAAUCCAUUAUUCAUACUGAUUGGAUGUAUAAAGCUGCCAUUGAGUACAUCUCUCUUGAAGCAGAGACAGUCAUCACUCUCCCCACCGGGUUGAAAAGCUUUGUUCUGCAUUGUUUUAAUAAAAUUUAGUAUUACUAUCCACAGUAUGGAGAUUUAGCAUUAAAUGCUGCUGCAAUAAAAGCACAAUAUCACAGCCAGGUAAAUGGUGCCAAGUACCAGGGAGGAUAUCCAGUGUACCACCAGACACCCAGCUUAGUUGUAAGCAGUUGCUUCAACCUGUCUCCAGGCAAAUUAAAGAGGGGUCCAGGAAAUACUGUCUUUAUUCCACAAUAUUUGUAUUGCGUGUAACUAACUGGCUGUGUGCCUGAUCAGGGAGUUGUACAUAUUUAAUGAUUCUGGUCUCUUAUGCACCAAAGUAUAAGAAGUUGAUGAAUGUGUUCUUAAUUGCUUGUGGAUUAGGAUUUGUAGUACUUAUUAUCUAAAUUGCUUUGCUCAAUAAAUCCCACCAUUGCUGCAUUCAUAUAUGAUAGGUGUUUGUUCUUAAUCAGUGAGACUCUGGGGAGAUCAAUGUCUGUAAUUGUACAACACAACUCAUUGCUUCGCAAAUGUGCCUAAAAAUGAGGUUGUGGUAUUUAAUUAGCACCGCACUCUGAAUAGACAAAUCUUACUCAACAUCUGCAUCAUGAAAAACAUGCUUUGGCCCUAGUGGUGAUUCCAUCAAACUCCUCCAACACCUUCCAAACAUAUUGCUUAAUGCUUUGAGCUUUUCCACCAUUAAUAAAUGAGGAAAGUAGUUGAAACUGGCUAGUUGCUCAGCUGAUUGUAGAAGCUGCACUCUAGAGCAAAUUUCCAAGAGAAUGGAAUUGUGAUCAUAUGAUUUCAAGUGGCUUUACCUAUAAUCUAAAUUAAGCAAUACUGACACCUCUGAUUCAUAUUGUACAUUGCUUCAGGUGAUAAGUGCCUUCUGCAACCACUUUGUAUUUAUUCCAAAACACACCUGCUUA